RNAcentral lists this ribosomal RNA (472 nucleotides) under uncultured bacterium. RNAcentral's name for it is "bacterial SSU rRNA". It matches the Rfam family "Bacterial small subunit ribosomal RNA", at positions 355 to 825 of the family's 1533-position model. The record is from RNAcentral.
UGGGGAAUUUUGGACAAUGGGCGCAAGCCUGAUCCAGCCAUACCGCGUGAGUGAAGAAGGCCUUCGGGUUGUAAAGCUCUUUCAGACGGAAAGAAACGGUCGCGGCCAAUACCCGCGACUAAUGACGGUACCGUAAGAAGAAGCACCGGCUAACUACGUGCCAGCAGCCGCGGUAAUACGUAGGGUGCGAGCGUUAAUCGGAAUUACUGGGCGUAAAGCGUGCGCAGGCGGUUUGGUAAGACAGAUGUGAAAUCCCCGGGCUUAACCUGGGAACUGCAUUUGUGACUGCCAGACUAGAGUGUAGCAGAGGGGGGUAGAAUUCCACGUGUAGCAGUGAAAUGCGUAGAUAUGUGGAGGAACACCGAUGGCGAAGGCAGCCCCCUGGGUUAACACUGACGCUCAUGCACGAAAGCGUGGGGAGCAAACAGGAUUAGAUACCCCCGUAGUCCCUGAGCGGGCUGGCAAGGCGCAU